GGUUAAGCGACUAAGCGUACACGGUGGAUGCCCUGGCAGUCAGAGGCGAUGAAGGACGUGCUAAUCUGCGAAAAGCGUCGGUAAGGUGAUAUGAACCGUUAUAGCCGGCGAUGUCCGAAUGGGGAAACCCAGUGUGAUUCGUCACACUAUCGUUAACUGAAUACAUAGGUUAACGAGGCGAACCGGGGGAACUGAAACAUCUAAGUACCCCGAGGAAAAGAAAUCAACCGAGAUUCCCCCAGUAGCGGCGAGCGAACGGGGAGCAGCCCAGAGUCUGAAUCAGCUUGUGUGUUAGUGGAACGGUCUGGAAAGUCCGACGGUACAGGGUGAUAGUCCCGUACACCAAAAUGCACAGGCUGUGAA
Molecule: ribosomal RNA, 363 nt
Filed under: Klebsiella pneumoniae IS22
Lineage: Bacteria; Pseudomonadati; Pseudomonadota; Gammaproteobacteria; Enterobacterales; Enterobacteriaceae
Description: LSU rRNA
Rfam family: Bacterial large subunit ribosomal RNA
Source: RNAcentral